This 926-nucleotide long non-coding RNA is filed under the name Marmota monax (woodchuck). Lineage: Eukaryota; Metazoa; Chordata; Mammalia; Rodentia; Sciuridae. The record is from RNAcentral.
UACUAGCGAGUGCAUUCAUUCCGGUUCCUCACAAGCUCCUGGGCGCUCCAGACCAGCCUCAAGAUCAGCCACUUUGUAUAUAUUGGAAAAACAGUAUGGGAUUGCUAGACCGACUUUCAGGUUUGCUUGGCCUGAAGAAGAAAGAGGUUCAUGUUUUGUGCCUUGGGCUGGAUAACAGUGGCAAAACAACAAUCAUUAACAAACUUAAACCUUCAAAUGCUCAAUCUCAAGAUAUAGUUCCAACAAUAGGAUUCAACAUAGAGAAAUUCAAAUCAUCCAGAUAUUAAACACCGUCGAAUUCCAAUCUUAUUCUUUGCAAACAAAAUGGAUCUUAGAGAUGCAGUGACAUCUGUAAAAGUGUCUCAGUUGCUGUGUUUAGAGAACAUCAAAGAUAAACCAUGGCAUAUUUGUGCUAGUGAUGCCAUAAAAGGAGAAGGAUUGCAAGAAGGUGUAGACUGGCUUCAAGAUCAGAUCCAGUCUGUGAAGACAUGAAAAUAUAGGAUCUAGAAACCUCAACAAUUUUGAAUCCAAGGAAUAUAUUUAAUAUAAACUGAGUACGUUAAAAUCUUUUAAAGGUGUGUGUGCAUCCCGGAAUACUUUAUAAUAUUCUGUUUGCAUUAAUGGACUUUGAAGAGCUUUUUAAGACCAUAGGAAUUUCAGGUAUGCUAAUCUGGCUAUUUAUUACAUAAAAACUAAAUCUUUCCUCAAAAGGAAUCCCUAGAAUUAUCAACUUUUUGGUAAAGGUCUACAUUUGAUUGUAAUCAGAAUAUUUGAAAGAGUUAUGAGCCAUCUCAAUAUCCCAUCAUGAUUUAUGAUCUUUAAUGUAUUUUAUUUUUGUCUUUUUAAAUAUGUAGUUUAUGGUAUGAUUUUUUAGUAUGAAUUGUGCUUUUGAAAAUAGCUUUAAAUAUUUAUAAAGGACCAUGGAU